UGGGAUGUGACAACAAUGAGAGCUGGAUCAUGAGGUGAGGAGGUAGUUUAUUGGAGGUCUACCUUUGAAGCAGAUAUCUUCUUUGGUUUCCCCCAUGAUGAUACGAGGGAACUCUAGGUCCUCUCUUGGGGUUCUUAGCCUCAUUAAUAAGAUAAUUUAAAAUUGAAUCAACGGGAAGCUUGAGGGCAAAUUUAAUCAGAGUUUAAAAGAAAAAUCCCAGGGCAGACAAGCCAUAAAAUAAAUCUCAUCAACUACCUGGAGGAGGAGAAUGGAAGGGAGAAGAAAAACUAUGCCGUUGGAGUUAUCAGCAUGCAGACAUUCAACAUGGCAUCAAGAAAUCCUGUGGUGGAGAAGGGGAACUUAAAAAACAAUUACGGAAGCCUGAAGUAUCCAAAAAUCACAGGUAGAUUCUGGCCAAUAUCUGAAAGGAGACAGAAAGAAGAAAAAAGUGGCUUGUUAGAGACUACACUAGAAGGCAAACUUCUAAGAAAGACAGGUCAGGCAGAAUAAGUUGGAAACCAGCCACUAAUUCCUUUCUCCCAGAAUUCCUUUCUCCCAGAUGGCAUAAAGGGAGGAACUCUGUAUAAGGGAAGCUGUUUAAAAUCAGUACUAUGAUAGCAGAAGCAAAUAUUUUAAUAGAAAGGUUGAAGCAAUACCAAAGAAGUCUCCCAUGAGGCACAACAAAAGAUUAAUGAGGCACAAUGAGGAAAGGUGCAAUGUAUCCAAAGAGCAAUUCAGGAAGAAGCACGAGGAAGCCAUGUUGAAAGGAAAAUAAUUCUUCUACCUAAGGAAAAGAGGUCUCAGGCUAGAAGUGGAAAUAUACUUUCCACACCCCACACCCCACACCCCACACCCCAUACCCCACACCCCUGCCUUUGCCUUAGAAACCUGCACAGUGAUGGAGGAAGUGGUUGUGGAGGGGAAACUGCACCAGGCUCACUAUUCUACAGUACUUUUUUGAUGUAGACUCACUAUAUUGCACAGAGUGUUCUAAAAAAAAAAAAAAAGGC
Long non-coding RNA from Grammomys surdaster, 1010 nucleotides. RefSeq lists it as uncharacterized. The record is from RefSeq and is a predicted model, not a curated record. The transcript has 2 exons. NCBI's taxonomy places the organism in Eukaryota, Metazoa, Chordata, Mammalia, Rodentia, Muridae.